GCGUGAAACUCGAUAUGUUUUUGUCUAGAUAGGUACUAGUGUGUAGACAGAUCCCUAAUUUUUUAUAGGUUUUUGUAUAUGCUAACGCCAAUUAAACUCAGCGGUUGGCCGCAUGGUGCAGCACUAGUCCAGGAACAACCAGGUUCAUAAGCGUGCGCACACCCAUUUCCUCCCUUCUAGUAUCGGCCAGUACGGGCAGAAUCACAGAUCCUUCGUUAUUCGAUGUUUCGUUAUGGAAUUCCCGCUGGAUCGACACUCUCUUCAAAUGACGCACGAUUUAUGGACGUGGAUCGAGACGAGGAUCGGAGCAAAAAGCCGGCCGAAAAAUCCAGGCACCCUCGCGAAGACGAUAACGGUCGACCACUUGUACGUUGACACACACACACACCACCCAACGGUCGACGUGCAUAACGAUAGUUUAUUCGUAUUUGCGUAUUGUGUUCUGUAAGCUACAAAACUUGUAUGUAAGCUAUAAAGGUAUUUUAAUAGAUUUUAACAAAUUAGAUCAAUGUAGAUAUUAUUUAGAAAAAAAAGAGACAAAGAAAGACGAUGUUUAAACUCGGAAUAAUAUACUCACGAAUUAAUAAGCACGGAUAAUAUGUCAUAAAGGAUGGUACCGAACAUAAUGAUAUCGUAAUGAAAAUUUUUGAAAGCAACGAAAGAUGUUGUUGCUUCGGUUAAAAAUAUUAUUAGAGAAAUGAAAACAGCGUGAAUCAUCUGGCCAUCUAUGAAGAAUGUAUUCGAGUAUUUUAAUUUUGAAAUUUAAUUUCUAAAAUACGUACAUGGUUGUUACGUAUUAUUUGUGGCCGGAAGAACGAAAGAUAGAUCGGGAUGGAUAGGGAGUUGAUGAUUCCCACACAAAGGUGAACGCCGAUCGUUGCGUUCGCGUGAUUGUCCGUUGUCAACCUCGUGGUCACGACGUUUCACGUGUGAAACGAGUCAUGAAACGAACGAAUCUCAGAAGCAUGUGCCAUGCUCAGGGCACGCUGCCAGAAAUUCGUUGCACUGCGAUAGUUGGCAGAUUUCGUGGCGAUAAUGGCGCGUUUCCUCUCCUCUGCUAAACUUAUCGGACAACGGCCGCGUUUCAAUACCGAUGGUUUUAACUUGCAGUAAAAUAUUCGAAAAUAGAACUAACAAGCACGCAGCGCUUUGGAAAAUUGACGAGUAAAUAAAGCUAAUAGAGACGAGACAUUCUAUGUCAUACUAAAUGAUGUUCACUUCUAUCAAACGCAUUACCGCCCCACUGCGAGUAAAUGGGUAGGUACUUGCGAACAUUUCGCUCAGAAGAGAAUUAAACUAACGAGUAAAUUAAACGUUGAUUUUAUGAUUAUCGUAGAUCCCCUCGAUAAUUCAGCCUGCGAGAGCACAACACAAGUAAUAAUCGCCAUAGUAAUCGUAAUUGUUCGAUGACGUCUUUCGUUAUUGUUUUGACAUUGAGGCUUGUCGA
This 1447-nucleotide unclassified non-coding RNA is filed under the name Bombus terrestris (buff-tailed bumblebee). RNAcentral describes it as "misc RNA ENSBTSG00005032555.1". The record is from RNAcentral. Lineage: Eukaryota; Metazoa; Arthropoda; Insecta; Hymenoptera; Apidae.